Molecule: RNA transcript, 1700 nt
Organism: Zingiber officinale
Lineage: Eukaryota; Viridiplantae; Streptophyta; Magnoliopsida; Zingiberales; Zingiberaceae
Gene name: F-box/kelch-repeat protein At3g24760-like
Exons: 3
Source: RefSeq, a predicted model, not a curated record
UCUGUCUCCGCAACGACCAAAGCUUCAACCUUUCUCUUGAAGUUAACUGAUCAUCGUGAUGGAGGUGGAGAUCGGGCAGGUGGAGGCGGCAGCGCCUUGGCUGCGGCUGAACGAUGACCUGGUUGAGCUCGUCCUCUCUUACCUGCCCCUGCGAUCGGCAGUCGUCGCCGGCGCCGUAAGUAGGCAGUGGCGAAGGAUUGUCUCCCACCCUGGAUUCGCUAAACGCGCCGCCUCUUCCCGGCGGAGGCCGCCCUGGUUCUUCCUGUACGGCCAGAACAACGUGGUCCUCCGCAAGAACCAGGCUUUCGGUUUCGACCCGGACGCCGGCGAGUGGAUCGCGCUCCCUCCCUCGCCCUCCGCGGUCCCCGUCGAAUGCUUCGCCGGCGCGGGCGGGUUCUUCUUCGCCACCAUCUCCGCGACCCGGUUCUGCUACGCGCCGCUUCUCCGUGGUCCCUGGCGCGAGACCUCUCCGCUGUUAUUCUCCCGUUACAACCCCCUCGUCGGCGUCUUCUCCUCCCCCGGAGGACGCCGUCGAUUCAUCGUGGUCGGCGGCGCCCGAUUCAUCGGCGGGCUUGUCAACCUCGAAGAUCCCCUCGCGGUCGAGAUCUACGACCCGGAGUCGGACUCGUGGGAGCUCUGCGCUCCGCUCCCGCCGGAGUUCCAGCCCGGGAACUCGUCGCAGUGGCUCUCCGCCGCCCUUCUGGCCGGUCGAUUCUUCUACGUGUUCGGGAUCUACUCCUCCUCCAUCGCCGCCUUCGACCUGAGCCGCCGCACUUGGAGCUCGUUCCAAACCCUCCGCCCCCCUGGCUUACUCUUCUCCUUCCUCCUCGCUUCCGGCGAUCGGCUCUUCCUCGCGGGCCUCUGCAACACCCCCGAAGGCCCGCCCUGUUUCUCCCUCUGGGCCGUCGACCACCGCACCAUGGACUACGCCGAGAUCGGCGCGAUGCCGAGCGACCUUCUUUCCUGCCUCUUCGAUACCGACGACGACGACAACAAGUUCGCCAGCCUCAAAUGCGUAGGCCUCGACGGCCUCGUCUACGUCUUCAACGAAGACCACCACAAAGCCUACCCAGCCUGCGUCUGCGAGAUCACCGAAACCUCCUCCGCCGCCGCCGCCAACCUUCCGGCGACUUCCUCGCCGCAAAAUCUGCGAUGCACUUGGAGAAAGGUGCCGCCUUUGCCCAGUCCGGUGAAUCGAUUCCACAAGGGGAAGAAGCAUGUGCACUAGUCGAAAUGCUCUUGGAGCUCAUCAAUUGCUUGCUGUUCUUAGUGCUGGUGGUAUGCUUUAACUCACCACGCUCUGUUCUGCACUAUCUGAAACUGAUUCAUAUUGAUGUUCUUCAGUCUUUAUGAUCUCAUGGGUCAUCUGAGAUGGUGCGGCGGGGGCGCUGGGGACAAGCGAUUUCACCUUUUGCAACAUGUUCUUCAGUCCUUGUGUCCUCUUGAGAUGGUCUAGUGGCUAGCGUAUGAGAUGUUGUCAUCAUGAGAUCUGAGGUUCGAAUUUCGAUAAAAUCGAGGUAAAUGCCCAUUAUGUGUUAGUCACUAUUUCAAAGAUUAGUAGUUGUCCGUGAUUUACUUUCUCCGUGUUAAUCCUGGGACGAGUUGAUGGAGAUACUGUGGGCGAGCGUAUUCGUCUUUUUGUCAUCAUGUUCUUUAGUUUUCGAGUGCGUAAACAUCACUUUUCGAUAGAGUUUUCUUUA